AGGUAAGCUACUAAGAGCGAAUGGUGGAUGCCUUGACUGGUAAAGGCGAUGAAGGACGUACUAGACUGCGAUAAGCUACGGGGAGCUGUCAAGAAGCUUUGAUCCGUAGAUUUCCGAAUGGGGCAACCCAAUGUAUAGAGAUAUACAUUACCUAUAUAGGAGCGAACGAGGGGAAUUGAAACAUCUUAGUACCCUCAGGAAAAGAAAUCAAUAGAGAUUGCGUCAGUAGCGGCGAGCGAAAGCGCAAGAGGGCAAACCCAGUGCUUGCACUGGGGGUUGUAGGACUGCAAUGUGCAAGAGGUAAGUUUAGCAGAACAUUCUGGAAAGUAUAGCCAUAGAGGGUGAUAGUCCCGUAUGCGAAAAACAAACCUUAGCUAGCAGUAUCCUGAGUAGGGCGGGACACGAGGAAUCCUGUCUGAAUCCGGGUCGACCACGAUCCAACCCUAAAUACUAAUACCAGAUCGAUAGUGCACAAGUACCGUGAGGGAAAGGUGAAAAGAACUGAGGUGAUCAGAGUGAAAUAGAACCUGAAACCAUUUGCUUACAAUCAUUCAGAGCCCUAUGUAGCAAUACAGGGUGAUGGACUGCCUUUUGCAUAAUGAGCCUGCGAGUUGUGGUGUCUGGCAAGGUUAAGCAAACGCGAAGCCGUAGCGAAAGCGAGUCUGAAUAGGGCGCUUAGUCAGAUGCUGCAGACCCGAAACGAAGUGAUCUAUCCAUGAGCAAGUUGAAGCUAGUGUAAGAACUAGUGGAGGACUGAACCCAUAGGCGUUGAAAAGCCCCGGGAUGACUUGUGGAUAGGGGUGAAAGGCCAAUCAAACUUCGUGAUAGCUGGUUCUCUCCGAAAUAUAUUUAGGUAUAGCGUUGUGUCGUAAUAUAAGGGGGUAGAGCACUGAAUGGGCUAGGGCAUACACCAAUGUACCAAACCCUAUCAAACUCCGAAUACCUUAUAUGUAAUCACAGCAGUCAGGCGGCGAGUGAUAAAAUCCGUCGUCAAGAGGGAAACAACCCAGACUACCAGCUAAGGUCCCUAAGUCUUACUUAAGUGGAAAACGAUGUGAAGUUACUUAAACAACCAGGAGGUUGGCUUAGAAGCAGCCAUCCUUUAAAGAAAGCGUAAUAGCUCACUGGUCUAGUGAUUUUGCGCGGAAAAUAUAACGGGGCUAAAGUAAGUACCGAAGCUGUAGACUUGCACACAACUUAGAUUAUUUAAGUUUAGAAUAUGAGAAACUAAGUUAUAUGUUUAGUUAUAUUUUUACUGAUUUUUAUAGAGUAAAGAUAGAAAUAAAACUUAGUGAAAUCAGUAAAAAUAUUCUUAGGCUAAAGUUAAGUAGUUUAAGUUGUGUGCAAGUGGUAGGAGAGCGUUCUAUUUGCGUCGAAGGUAUACCGGUAAGGAGUGCUGGAGCGAAUAGAAGUGAGCAUGCAGGCAUGAGUAGCGAUAAUUAAUGUGAGAAUCAUUAACGCCGUAAACCCAAGGUUUCCUACGCGAUGCUCGUCAUCGUAGGGUUAGUCGGGUCCUAAGUCGAGUCCGAAAGGGGUAGACGAUGGCAAAUUGGUUAAUAUUCCAAUACCAACAUUAGUGUGCGAUGGAAGGACGCUUAGGGCUAAGGGGGCUAGCGGAUGGAAGUGCUAGUCUAAGGUCGUAGGAGGUUAUACAGGCAAAUCCGUAUAACAAUACUCCGAGAACUGAAAGGCUUUUUGAAGUCUUCGGAUGGAUAGAAGAACCCCUGAUGCCGUCGAGCCAAGAAAAGUUUCUAAGUUUAGCUAAUGUUGCCCGUACCGUAAACCGACACAGGUGGGUGGGAUGAGUAUUCUAAGGCGCGUGGAAGAACUCUCUUUAAGGAACUCUGCAAAAUAGCACCGUAUCUUCGGUAUAAGGUGUGGUUAGCUUCGUACUAGGAUUUACUCCGAAAGCGAAGAAACUUACAACAAAGAGUCCCUCCCGACUGUUUACCAAAAACACAGCACUCUGCUAACUCGUAAGAGGAUGUAUAGGGUGUGACGCCUGCCCGGUGCUCGAAGGUUAAUUGAUGGGGUUAGCAUUAGCGAAGCUCUUGAUCGAAGCCCGAGUAAACGGCGGCCGUAACUAUAACGGUCCUAAGGUAGCGAAAUUCCUUGUCGGUUAAAUACCGACCUGCAUGAAUGGCGUAACGAGAUGGGAGCUGUCUCAAAGAGGGAUCCAGUGAAAUUGUAGUGGAGGUGAAAAUUCCUCCUACCCGCGGCAAGACGGAAAGACCCCGUGGACCUUUACUACAGCUUGACACUGCUACUUGGAUAAGAAUGUGCAGGAUAGGUGGGAGGCUUUGAGUAUAUGACGCCAGUUGUAUAUGAGCCAUUGUUGAGAUACCACUCUUUCUUAUUUGGGUAGCUAACCAGCUUGAGUUAUCCUCAAGUGGGACAAUGUCUGGUGGGUAGUUUGACUGGGGCGGUCGCCUCCCAAAUAAUAACGGAGGCUUACAAAGGUUGGCUCAGAACGGUUGGAAAUCGUUCGUAGAGUAUAAAGGUAUAAGCCAGCUUAACUGCAAGACAUACAAGUCAAGCAGAGACGAAAGUCGGUCUUAGUGAUCCGGUGGUUCUGUGUGGAAGGGCCAUCGCUCAAAGGAUAAAAGGUACCCCGGGGAUAACAGGCUGAUCUCCCCCAAGAGCUCACAUCGACGGGGAGGUUUGGCACCUCGAUGUCGGCUCAUCGCAUCCUGGGGCUGGAGCAGGUCCCAAGGGUAUGGCUGUUCGCCAUUUAAAGCGGUACGCGAGCUGGGUUCAGAACGUCGUGAGACAGUUCGGUCCCUAUCUGCCGUGGGCGUAAGAAGAUUGAAGAGAUUUGACCCUAGUACGAGAGGACCGGGUUGAACAAACCACUGGUGUAGCUGUUGUUCUGCCAAGAGCAUCGCAGCGUAGCUAAGUUUGGAAAGGAUAAACGCUGAAAGCAUCUAAGCGUGAAGCCAACUCUAAGAUGAAUCUUCUCUAAGCUCUCUAGAAGACUACUAGUUUGAUAGGCUGGGUGUGUAAUGGAUGAAAGUCCUUUAGCUGACCAGUACUAAUAGAGCGUUUGGCUUAUCUUU
RNAcentral lists this ribosomal RNA (3056 nucleotides) under Campylobacter jejuni. Its description in RNAcentral is "23S ribosomal RNA". It matches the Rfam family "Bacterial large subunit ribosomal RNA". The record is from RNAcentral. Lineage: Bacteria; Pseudomonadati; Campylobacterota; Epsilonproteobacteria; Campylobacterales; Campylobacteraceae.